RNAcentral lists this ribosomal RNA (458 nucleotides) under uncultured bacterium. RNAcentral's name for it is "partial 16S ribosomal RNA". It matches the Rfam family "Bacterial small subunit ribosomal RNA", at positions 338 to 795 of the family's 1533-position model. The record is from RNAcentral.
CCUACGGGUGGCAGCAGUGGGGAAUAUUGCACAAUGGGGGAAACCCUGAUGCAGCGACGCCGCGUGAGUGAAGAAGUAAUUCGUUACGUAAAGCUCUAUCAGCAGGGAAGAAACACUGACCUUACGGUCAGCAGACGGUACCUGAGUAAGAAGUCCCGGCUAACUACGUGCCAGCAGCCGCGGUAAUACGUAGGGGGCAAGCGUUAUCCGGAUUUACUGGGUGGAAAGGGAGUGUAGACGGUGCGCCAAGUCUGGAGUGAAAUGCCGCAGGGUAACUGCGGAACUGCUUUGGAAACUGGCGAACUAGAGUGCGGGAGGGGUAAGCGGAAUUCCUAGUGUAGCGGUGAAAUGCGUAGAUAUUAGGAGGAACACCGGUGGCGAAGGCGGCUUACUGGACCGUAACUGACGUUGAGGCUCGAAAGCGUGGGGAGCAAACAGGAUUAGAUACCCGGGUAGUC